This is a long non-coding RNA of Musa acuminata AAA Group (dessert banana), 1094 nucleotides long. RefSeq lists it as uncharacterized. The transcript is spliced from 3 exons. The record is from RefSeq and is a predicted model, not a curated record. Lineage: Eukaryota; Viridiplantae; Streptophyta; Magnoliopsida; Zingiberales; Musaceae.
UAAUCCAACCACCCUUUUAUACUAUCUUGCAAACUAUGUAUACUUGUACUGCACGCUUGUUAGAGGAAGCCAAGCCACAACCUUCCUUCCCCGAGCUCUCUUUCUCAAGUCUCAGAACUCGAAGAGCAUCGAAGCAAUGACAGAGAAGGUCUCCACCUUGAUCAUAGAAGCAGAUAUCGGAUGCUCAUGUUGUUACAAAAAGAUCCAAAAGGUUCUUUGCAAGCUCCAAGUUCGAGAGAGAAUCAAGUCCAUCAAUUACAACGAGAAGGAUAACAAGGUCACCAUCUCCGGCCCCUUCAAUCCCGAGUGUCUUAAGAAGAAGCUGCUUUGCAAGCUGUGCAAAGUGGUGACAAGUAUCAAGAUCAAGCCGGAUGACCCACCGCCGCCCCCGCCGAAACCCAUAAAGGAACCCAAAGAGCCUGUCAAGAUUAUCUGCUGCUUCAAGCCGUGGCCAGACUGCUGCUUCCGGCCAUGCCCUUGUUUCGAGCCAAGCAAAGGCUGUCGCCGGUGCUGCUCCUGUGGUUGGAUGUGCUGCUUUGUCGCGCCAUUCUGCGCUCCGGAGCCCAAGCCUAGCCCGCCGAAGGAAACGAAACUUGUUUGCUGCGGCAAGCCAUGGCCGUCCUGCUGCUACAAGCCCUGCCCUUGCUUUGAGCAAACCCAUGGCUGCCGCCGGUGCUGCUCCUGUGGUUGGAUGUGCUGCGUUCGAGGGCCGGUCUGUGUUCCACUGCCCAACCCCUGCCCGUCGUAUUGCCCUCCCAGGGCUUGCCCAUCGGAGCACUGCUGCUCCAAGCCAAGCCCACCGCCGAAUCCAUGUUUCCAUGGCUACAAGUUUGUCUACGAGGAGGGGCCGCCGCCAGAUCCAUGCACCAUUAUGUAAUCUUUAAUCGACCUCUCGUCUGUACUUUGGUUCCAAUUCCCGUACUUUCUUUCGGCCGCUGAAGAGUAGUGCAAGCGACGAAAGACGUAAAUAAGAUCGUAAUGCCGACGAGAUCAUCCCAUCCGAUCUUGUGGAUUAUGAUGGUGAAAGAGAGAUCCAAGAAGCUUGGUUUUCGAUGUGUUUACUUGAGUGGAAGUUUGUGUUUCGAUUUGUGUCA